This 736-nucleotide long non-coding RNA is filed under the name Amborella trichopoda. RNAcentral describes it as "long non-coding RNA (ATRI_LNC003428)". The record is from RNAcentral. Lineage: Eukaryota; Viridiplantae; Streptophyta; Magnoliopsida; Amborellales; Amborellaceae.
AAGGACCAAUUCGAAAUUUUAGAAAUUGUGGGUGAGAGGCAAAAUCGUCAUUCUUCCCCUAUUUUUAAUUAAUUCAUUUUAAUGCUAUUUUUUGUCAAUUAGGUCAGAAAUUGGGGACGUAAUGAACACAUGUAAUGGCCCCUUCAAUUUAAUAAAAAUUUUGGCUUCACUUCAAGUUUUGGGUCAUGUUUUUGCUUUCUGUGCCAUUGGGUGACAUAUGAUAGCAUAAUACAAAAUUAGACCAAUUUGUCGUCUAAACAAGUGGGAAACCAAACAUCUACUAACGCACACAUAAUUAUGAAAGGAUUUGUAGAGAUCCAAAGACGAAUGAAAUGGAGAAAUAGUAAGAGAAAACCAGGGUCUUAAAACACACAUCGGUUCAAUUGAGUUCACAAUCCGGCAGACAAAAAUUUUCCAUAUUUUCUUUUCAUAAAAUCAACAAUUUAAGAAAUCAAGAAGAUUGUUUAAGUGACUGACAUGAUCAUAAAAAUCUUACAGAGAAUUGCUCCAAAAUCUAUGGAAGAAAGCUCAUGGAAAACUAUCACAACACAAACUAUGUAAUAGAUUUAUUGAGGAGCAUAAAAUGAAACAAUAACAUCAAUACUAAACACCAGAACUGCAUCAAUAAAUAACAAUAAUUGUAAACCAAGAUAUAGGAUUAUUGUUCACAGCAAAAAAAAAAAAGAUUGUAAGUUUCUAUUAUCUAAAAAAAAACACAAAGACCCAAAUAUAUAAA